CUGUUUAAAUGCAUGGGAACUAAUAUAAUAAAAAGGAACGUAAAAAAGCAUAAAUAAGGUGAAUUUUGCUGUGAGAGUUGCAACCUAACUUUGAAUUAGAGCUACCGUGAACAAAGCCGAACAGUAUGUAGACGUUCCCUUGGUAAUCGCCUUUACAAUUGAGAAUGGAAAUGGUGAAUGAUUCAAAGAUAGAACAACCCCGACCAAAGGCCAGAAAACAGUCGAAUUCUACAAAAUUCCAGUGGUUUUAACACUUUUCUCAUGAGGAUACCGGUUUUAACCUGACCAGAAUCGAUUCGACGACCUGUCGCAUGCAAGAAGAGCAAACGUUAACGAGCCCACCUAG
This 346-nucleotide long non-coding RNA is filed under the name Mytilus galloprovincialis (Mediterranean mussel). Lineage: Eukaryota; Metazoa; Mollusca; Bivalvia; Mytilida; Mytilidae. The record is from RNAcentral.